Myotis brandtii (Brandt's bat) is the source of this 321-nucleotide long non-coding RNA. RefSeq lists it as uncharacterized. NCBI's taxonomy places the organism in Eukaryota, Metazoa, Chordata, Mammalia, Chiroptera, Vespertilionidae. The transcript is spliced from 2 exons. The record is from RefSeq and is a predicted model, not a curated record.
CCAAAUGAAAGAACAGAGCAAAACUCCAGAAAAAGAGCUAAACAAAAUGGAGACAAGCAAUCUAUUGGAUUCAGAGUUCAAAACACAGGUUAUAAGGAUUUUAGUGACUUAGGGAAAGAGUAAAUGAACUUAGAGCUUUAACAGCAUAAAAAAUGUCAUGGAAACCAUAAAAAAACAAACAACCAAAACAAACAGACCAGUAAGAAAUGAAGGAUACACUAACUGAAAUGAAGAAUAAUUUAUAGGGAAUCAACAGAGUAGAUGAAGCCAAGAAAUAAAACAGUGACUUGAAAUGUAAGGAAGGGAAAAAGAAAGAAAGAA